RNAcentral lists this ribosomal RNA (253 nucleotides) under uncultured bacterium. Its description in RNAcentral is "partial 16S ribosomal RNA". It matches the Rfam family "Bacterial small subunit ribosomal RNA", at positions 524 to 776 of the family's 1533-position model. The record is from RNAcentral.
UACGUAGGGUGCAAGCGUUGUCCGGAAUUAUUGGGCGUAAAGAGCUCGUAGGCGGUCUGUCGCGUCUGCUGUGAAAACUCGGGGCUUAACCCCGGGCCUGCAGUGGGUACGGGCAGACUAGAGUGCGGUAGGGGAGACUGGAAUUCCUGGUGUAGCGGUGAAAUGCGCAGAUAUCAGGAGGAACACCGGUGGCGAAGGCGGGUCUCUGGGCCGUAACUGACGCUGAGGCACGAAAGCGUGGGGAGCAAACAGG